GCUCGUAUAGCUCAGUGGCAGAGCGCUCCACUCGUAAUACACGCUUUCAAGCGUCGAAAAGAUAUGGAGAGGUCAUUGGUUCGAUCCCAGUUUCGAGCA
Molecule: non-coding RNA, 99 nt
Organism: Myriangium duriaei CBS 260.36
Lineage: Eukaryota; Fungi; Ascomycota; Dothideomycetes; Myriangiales; Myriangiaceae
Source: the annotation of a GenBank genome assembly